AGUAAGAUGGCUGAAAAAUAAGCGGAAGACUGUAAAUCUUCUUAUGGACCCUGUUCUCUUACUA
Molecule: transfer RNA, 64 nt
Filed under: Siphonosoma cumanense
Lineage: Eukaryota; Metazoa; Annelida; Sipuncula; Golfingiida; Sipunculidae
Description: tRNA-Tyr
Source: RNAcentral